GAUGAACGCUGGCGGCGUGCCUAAUACAUGCAGGUCGAGCGAACGGACGAGAAGCUUGCUUCUCUGAUGUUAGCGGCGGACGGGUGAGUAACACGUGGAUAACCUACCUAUAAGACUGGGAUAACUUCGGGAAACCGGAGCUAAUACCGGAUAAUAUUUUGAACCGCAUGGUUCAAAAGUGAAAGACGGUCUUGCUGUCACUUAUAGAUGGAUCCGCGCUGCAUUAGCUAGUUGGUAAGGUAACGGCUUACCAAGGCAACGAUGCAUAGCCGACCUGAGAGGGUGAUCGGCCACACUGGAACUGGGACACGGUCCAGACUCCUACGGGAGGCAGCAGUAGGGAAUCUUCCGCAAUGGGCGAAAGCCUGACGGAGCAACGCCGCGUGAGUGAUGAAGGUCUUCGGAUCGUAAAACUCUGUUAUUAGGGAAGAACAUAUGUGUAAGUAACUGUGCACAUCUUGACGGUACCUAAUCAGAAAGCCACGGCUAACUACGUG
RNAcentral lists this ribosomal RNA (497 nucleotides) under uncultured bacterium. RNAcentral describes it as "partial 16S ribosomal RNA". It matches the Rfam family "Bacterial small subunit ribosomal RNA", at positions 28 to 507 of the family's 1533-position model. The record is from RNAcentral.